RNAcentral lists this ribosomal RNA (368 nucleotides) under Phoronida sp. USNM IZ 1449869. RNAcentral describes it as "SSU rRNA". It matches the Rfam family "Eukaryotic small subunit ribosomal RNA", at positions 51 to 414 of the family's 1831-position model. The record is from RNAcentral. Lineage: Eukaryota; Metazoa; Phoronida.
AUGCAUGUCUAAGUACAAACCUUAAUACGGUGAAACUGCGAAUGGCUCAUUAAAUCAGUUAUGGUUCCUUAGAUCGAUACACUCCUACUUGGAUAACUGUAGUAAUUCUAGAGCUAAUACAUGCAAUAAAGCUCCGACCUCGCGGGAAGAGCGCUUUUAUUAGAUCAAAACCAAUCGGCUCUCGGGCCGUACUGUUGGUGACUCUGGAUAACUUUGGGCUGAUCGCAUGGCCUCGAGCCGGCGACGUAUCUUUCAAAUGUCUGCCCUAUCAACUGUCGAUGGUAUGUGAUAUGCUUACCAUGGUUAUAACGGGUAACGGGGAAUCAGGGUUCGAUUCCGGAGAGGGAGCAUGAGAAACGGCUACCACA